RNAcentral lists this ribosomal RNA (449 nucleotides) under uncultured bacterium. RNAcentral describes it as "partial 16S ribosomal RNA". It matches the Rfam family "Bacterial small subunit ribosomal RNA", at positions 354 to 796 of the family's 1533-position model. The record is from RNAcentral.
GUGGGGAAUAUUGGACAAUGGGCGAAAGCCUGAUCCAGCCAUGCCGCGUGUGUGAAGAAGGUCUUCGGAUUGUAAAGCACUUUAAGUUGGGAGGAAGGGUAGUAACCUAAUACGUUGCUACUUUGACGUUACCGACAGAAUAAGCACCGGCUAACUUCGUGCCAGCAGCCGCGGUAAUACGAAGGGUGCAAGCGUUAAUCGGAAUUACUGGGCGUAAAGCGCGCGUAGGUGGUUCAGUAAGUUGGAAGUGAAAUCCCCGGGCUCAACCUGGGAACUGCUUUCAAAACUGCUGAGCUAGAGUACGGUAGAGGGUGGUGGAAUUUCCUGUGUAGCGGUGAAAUGCGUAGAUAUAGGAAGGAACACCAGUGGCGAAGGCGACCACCUGGACUGAUACUGACACUGAGGUGCGAAAGCGUGGGGAGCAAACAGGAUUAGAAACCCCGUAGUCC